Molecule: long non-coding RNA, 1319 nt
Organism: Magallana angulata
Lineage: Eukaryota; Metazoa; Mollusca; Bivalvia; Ostreida; Ostreidae
Exons: 2
Source: RefSeq, a predicted model, not a curated record
UCAUAUUUGUCAAGGUUUCCCUUCUGGUUCAUGGAAAGUUUAAAUUUGCAAUAAGGAACUGCAAAAAGAGUACACCACUUCAUUUGACCAAAAGGUCGUUCACCAGAGUCCAUGUUACUAAUUUGUGACUCUUCGUUAGCAAUACUUGAACAACCUUAUUGCCAAGAACUUUAAACAAACAAACAACACAUGCACCAGUUGCGGUUCUCUGCGAAAACCACAAUGAUUAUUAACCAUUAGUAAUUUGGCACCAAGUAUAGAUGAAACUUAAGUUUAAAAAAAUAAACAAAGAUUACUACUCCACAAACCCACUCAAAGCAUGAAUUGUCUGUUAGUUAUUAAAAAACAGCUUUGAUCAGUUUGAACAAUAGCCAUAAGUGAUGCAGGAUGAUAAUCUAUAUUUAAUAUUUUUUAUCAAUCUGACAAAGACCCCCUUGGACUAUUGCCAAGGCACCACGUGAUUCAGUGUUUAUAAACAUUAGGAUAUUUCCUGUAUUAAUUUUUAAAAGGACAGACUAGGGGUGAAUACGGAAAUCAAUCGGACUAUUGAAACAAAUCAACAUACAAUUCAAUUAAAAAUAUUGAAAAAGUUCUCGGAUCAUUGAAUGGACAUUUGGCAUGUACAGCGACAACCAGCUGGUUCUGGACAAGCUUGUUAAAAACAUUGAAGAAGAUAUCACAGAGGUGAAAGAAAAAUCAAAAUUAUCUUACCCUAGAGCAGAGGAAAACGAAUUCCAUACACCGUGGAACAAGAGUUUUGUCGAAAAGCUCAAGAACUUAUACCAAAUAAUGGUUCCCCAAGUGACUAGGUUACAAAAUGAACUGGAAAACUCUGAAAAAGAUAAGGAGAAACGGGUGGCCAUUUAUUUCUUUUCAAAAGAAGAAUACAACAUACGCUGUGCGCAGAAUCUAGGACGAUUUUUGCAGAAAGCUGGGGAUUCGUUCGAUUAUCGCUAUGCAGAUACUAGGAAUGAAGAACUUGGUGGUUUGGCGAAAUGGUUUGGCAAAGAAAUAAUACGGUGGAUUCUCUCUUGAAAAAACCUCAAGAAAAAUUAUUGGAGCAUAACCACUUGCAAAUGCAGGACGAAGUCAAAACUGGCGCAUAACCUUGACGGUACCGUGAUGUUGUUAUGAAGAGCGGAUGGCAGCUGGCCAAAGUGUCGCAUAAGGAACGGGUGCCAGGGUGUUGCUACAGAGAGCACGAUGAGUCACCUGUUCCGUUUAAAGCAAAGAAAUGGGAACUUUUUGUGUUGCAGAUUUUGUGACCUUUUCAUUGAACAUUGCAAUUUUGAAGUCUUAUUAAACAUAUGUGCACUUUU